CCACUAUGCUUAGCCCUAAACACAAAUAAUUAUAUCAACAAAAUUAUUCGCCAGAGUACUACCGGCAAUAGCCUAAAACUCAAAGGACUUGGCGGUGCUUUAUACCCUUCU
This 111-nucleotide ribosomal RNA is filed under the name Alces alces (Eurasian elk). Its description in RNAcentral is "partial small subunit ribosomal RNA". Lineage: Eukaryota; Metazoa; Chordata; Mammalia; Artiodactyla; Cervidae. The record is from RNAcentral.